AAUGUACUCCCUCCGUCCCAAAAUUCUUGUCUUAGAUUUGUCCAGAUACGGAUGUAUCAAUCAAGUUGAUACAUCCGUAUCUAGACAAAUCUAAGACAAGAAAUUUGGGACAGAGGGAGUAGUUG
Molecule: non-coding RNA, 125 nt
Organism: Triticum aestivum (bread wheat)
Lineage: Eukaryota; Viridiplantae; Streptophyta; Magnoliopsida; Poales; Poaceae
Source: Rfam